CCUACGGGAGGCAGCAGUGGGGAAUCUUGCGCAAUGGGCGAAAGCCUGACGCAGCCAUGCCGCGUGAAUGAUGAAGGUCUUAGGAUUGUAAAAUUCUUUCACCGGGGACGAUAAUGACGGUACCCGGAGAAGAAGCCCCGGCUAACUUCGUGCCAGCAGCCGCGGUAAUACGAAGGGGGCUAGCGUUGCUCGGAAUUACUGGGCGUAAAGGGAGCGUAGGCGGAUAGUUUAGUCAGAGGUGAAAGCCCAGGGCUCAACCUUGGAAUUGCCUUUGAUACUGGCUAUCUUGAGUACGGAAGAGGUAUGUGGAACUCCGAGUGUAGAGGUGAAAUUCGUAGAUAUUCGGAAGAACACCAGUGGCGAAGGCGACAUACUGGUCCGUUACUGACGCUGAGGCUCGAAAGCGUGGGGAGCAAACAGGAUUAGAUACCCUGGUAGUCCACGCUGUAAACGAUGAGUGCUAGUUGUCGGGCAUGCAUGCAUGUCGGUGGACGCAGCUAACGCAUUAAGUACACCUCCCGCCGUCGGGGAGGGUACGGGUUCCGGCGAACGAAGUUUAAAAACGUUUAAAACGGUUAAAGUUAGUUACGGUCGUUGAGACGUUGCCGACGGCGACGACGAGGGGAGGAGG
This 631-nucleotide ribosomal RNA is filed under the name uncultured bacterium. RNAcentral's name for it is "bacterial SSU rRNA". The stretch from base 1 to 519 matches the Rfam family "Bacterial small subunit ribosomal RNA", at positions 338 to 873 of the family's 1533-position model. The record is from RNAcentral.